RNAcentral lists this ribosomal RNA (253 nucleotides) under uncultured bacterium. Its description in RNAcentral is "partial 16S ribosomal RNA". It matches the Rfam family "Bacterial small subunit ribosomal RNA", at positions 524 to 776 of the family's 1533-position model. The record is from RNAcentral.
CACGUAGGGUGCAAGCGUUAAUCGGAAUUACUGGGCGUAAAGCGUGCGCAGGCGGUUUUGUAAGUCUGUCGUGAAAGCCCCGGGCUCAACCUGGGAAUUGCGAUGGAGACUGCAAGGCUUGAAUCUGGCAGAGGGGGGUAGAAUUCCACGUGUAGCAGUGAAAUGCGUAGAGAUGUGGAGGAACACCGAUGGCGAAGGCAGCCCCCUGGGUCAAGAUUGACGCUCAUGCACGAAAGCGUGGGGAGCAAACAGG